GUCUACAGCCAUGCCACCCUGGAUGCGCCCAAUCUCGUCUGAUCUUGGAGGCUAAGCAGGGUCGGGCCUGGUUAGUACUUAGAUGGGAGACCAUCUAGGAAGACCGGGUGCUAUAGACG
Molecule: non-coding RNA, 119 nt
Organism: Pteropus alecto (black flying fox)
Lineage: Eukaryota; Metazoa; Chordata; Mammalia; Chiroptera; Pteropodidae
Source: Rfam